AACGAACGCUGGCGGCAGGCCUAACACAUGCCAGUCGAGCGCCCCGCCAGGGGAGCGGCGGUCUGGUGAGUAACGCGUGGGGAUAUGCCCUUUGCUACGGAAUAGUCUCGGUAAACUGGGGGUAAUACCGUAUACGCCCUUUGGGGGAAAGAUUUAUCGGCGAAGGAUUAGCCCGCGUUGGAUUAGGUAGUUGGUGGGGUAAUGGCCUACCAAGCCGACGAUCCAUAGCUGGGUUGAGAGGAUGAUCAGCCACACUGGGACUGAGACACGGCCCAGACUCCUACGGGAGGCAGCAGUGGGGAAUCUUAGACAAUGGGGGCAACCCUGAUCUAGCCAUGCCGCGUGAGUGAUGAAGGCCUUAGAGUUGUAAAGCUCUUUCAGCUGGGAAGAUAAUGACGGUACCAGAAGAAGAAGCCCCGGCUAACUCCGUG
This 431-nucleotide ribosomal RNA is filed under the name uncultured bacterium. RNAcentral describes it as "partial 16S ribosomal RNA". It matches the Rfam family "Bacterial small subunit ribosomal RNA", at positions 29 to 507 of the family's 1533-position model. The record is from RNAcentral.